GCCCCGGCCAGGCGCGUCCCCGCCGCGGCCUACGAGUCCCAGGAUGCCGCGGGGCCGAGCGCGCCCCCGGCGGCGCGGCCUGCGCGGGUGCGUUCGCUCGGAGAGGAUAACGGAGUCCUGGAACCCUGGGGUGAGCAGGGCUGGAAGAGUCCUUUAACAUCCCCGAGUCCAACUGUCAACCCAGCCCUGUCCCUGUAACCCCGAAACCACAUCACCCAGCGCCGGAUCCUGACGGCUCUCGAACCCCUCCAGGGACGGUGACUCCACCUCCCUCGGCGAUCUGUUCCCGUGUCUGACCAGCCGAACUGCUCAAAUUUUUCCAAAUAUCUGUCUGGGUGUGGUUUUCAUUUCUUUAGGGGCGCAAAGAAUACGUAGGCUGUAAAAGAAAGGCAUUUAGUUGGAAAAUUUCAGUGACGGAUAAUGCCACAUACAUCAGACUUCAUUUGGACUGAUGUUGGAUGCCAUUUUUAUACAGAACUGGGGUGUUGUAGGACUGGAGAAAAUCUAAGGAAGAACUUCCUGGAGUCUGGAAAUGGCAGAUGAUAUUAUCACUAGGGAAUCUUCCAGUGAGGAAGGGAAAAGCCAGUGCAGAGGUUGUGGAAUUGAAAGUACACAAAGCACUCCAGACCAGUACAGUGAGUUUGCAGGAGGCUGGACUGUUGCAGCAAGUUCUCAGAUCAUCCAAAGGACAGAAGUUGCUGAUUCCAGGACAUUUCUGGACAAAGAAAUGCUGCUGCUUCACCUGGAUUUGUCAGACCCUUUCCACUGUGCUGGGAUGACCCUUGCUCUCUGUGACUCAUCUGAAAGCAUCAGUGCCUUGAGAAUCAUAACCCCAGUGCCCUGGGAAUCAUAAUCUCCUCAGUGUCUAUUUUGUUAUGGUCCAGAUCUUGAGUGACAGCCUGCCUCACAGUUGCACCUCCAAAGUAGAGAGUUGUGUCUUCUGCCAGAAUUCCACACUCAGUACAGUCCUGCUUUUAGGGUCAAAUGGAGCGAGCUGCUCCCUGUGCUGGACACACACCCCGCUGAAGUGAAGCGCCAUCCCCGAGGCGACGGCGCCGCAGACCGUGCUGAGCUUGCCCCCGUUCACUGUCAGCCAGUUCUGGUUCGAGGGGGAGCGGUUGAAGUUGUCCUUCAGCUGGGUGGGAAGGGGGGUCUCUGGCUCGUCGCAGUACAGCCCACCCCAGUGCUCGUCGCAGCUGCAGAGCAAAACAAAUGCACAAAUCAGCUGGCAAAGGCUCUGCAUGUUAUUAAGGGAAUGACCCCUAAUCACCCAAUCAGUUCCACUGGAUGUUUCAGCACAGAAGACAAGUGCUACAGAAAUACAAGGACAAGUAGAUACAAACAAGGCUCCUGUUACGGUGAAUAAUGUAACCAGAAAACAAGUGAACUUUCCUCUGCAGCGGAGGAAGAGGAAUGGCAGGGAUUACUAAGAAGUCAUUACCAUAACAGGAAUCUGUGACAGAGCAGGAAGCUGCAAAAUCUAUUUGCAAGAAAGAGUCUUCAUUGACCACGAUGUCGGUGGUGACGACGUAGCGGGUGCUGGCUUUCUCAAUGAACACCAGAGCAUCCCCCGCAGAGCCGCACACCGGCAUCUUCGUUCCUCCAGGGUGGAGCAGCCACUUCCUGCUGUCCAGGGUGGUGAAAUCAUCUUCCAGUACUGUAUUGCCAGAGAUAUUUCCUCCUAUAAGAAUCUGAAACAUUAGGAAAGAAGCUUUAAUUGAAAAGGAGAAAUGUCUAGAAGUCUUCACAAGCAUGCAAGUGACGUAGCAACCCGAGGGAGGAAGAUUAUACUAUGGGUAUUUAUUCUGCUGGUCCAAAAUUGACAACAUUACUUAGUAGAGAAUUUAGGCCGUGAGAAAGGGGAGUAUCUCUUUCCUAUGCAGGAAAGAGAUUGGCUCAGCUGUACAAAUCUAAAAUUCAGGGAGGUGACUUCCAAUCUCAGUGAAGUAAAACUGCUGGGCAAAAAGUGUUAUCAGAAACAAAGUGAUUGCGCUUUCCUAGUGAUCGUUCUGCUCUUCUGUUGUCUAGUGCACUGUUAUCAGAUUGUGUCUGCUGACAGAAGUGGGGAAAUAGCCUCUGCUUUGUCAUUGACUAUAAAAUAUCAUCGUUUUACUCUUUACCAGCAAGCAAGGUAGAAUUAUUUUUCAUUUGUUAUUCUAAAUUCAGUUCUGAAAAAAUAUAACUACAUUCAACUAA
Molecule: long non-coding RNA, 2196 nt
Organism: Haemorhous mexicanus (house finch)
Lineage: Eukaryota; Metazoa; Chordata; Aves; Passeriformes; Fringillidae
Exons: 9
Source: RefSeq, a predicted model, not a curated record